AAAACCGCCCUGGCCAUCGCCUUGACUCUGGCAGAGGUUAGUGGCAGAGGCCCAGGCCCUGGGUUAUGGGAGAGGGAGAACAUGCGUAUGAAAGGUUGUACUCAGGAGAGAGAUACAGGAGAUUCAUUCACGAUGAACAGGCCUGACAGAAAGCACAAAGGCACGGUGGAAAUUUGAAGAACUUGUCUUGUGAGAGACCCUGGGCCAAGGUCCCCAGCCAAGCUGCCUCUGGAUUCCUGAACCACAAAAACUGUGAGAUAAAUAUCUACUUAUGAAGAACUUAUACAGAUUGGAAGAAAAUGUUAUGAUAAAAAAAAAACUAUUUAAUCCUCAUGAGUUAGAUUUCCUGUCUCUCCAACAGAUGUUAUCAGGAUAAUUGCAAACAAAACUCUAUAUAACACAUACCAGGUGACUUAAUAUUUGUAUUCAGUAAUAUAACUCCUAAAGUUGCAUAUCGGCUUCCCUGUAGACAGGGCAAACAAAUCAAAGUGUGAAUCCAGGUCUCUGGGACUUGACCUAGAAAACUUUAAAGCUUUGAUUCUCUGAAAAACGGAGAGCUGGUUCUGAACUUAAUUCCAAGAGCUCGCGGGCGUUUUGAUAACUCUUUGUAACAGAGUGAUUUUAUAGUUUUGCUCUAACUUUGCCUGCGCUCCGGAAGUACCCUCCCUUUUCUGCUCAGCAGGGCUUUUUCACUUCUUGCUCCUUGUUUUUUUCCAUUGCAUCAGAGUGGCUUAGUAAAGUAAGAAAGGAGAGGUAAGGGAUGAGGAGAGUGUGGGGAGUUACCAUUGUCUCUGCAGUCCUAGCUCACCUGGGAAAACGUGCCCUUAUUCUCCACCACCCUAAGGCCACGGUGGGGGCAGGAAGAUCUCAGGUCUCUCUAAAGCCCAAUUUGAAGGCAUGAUGGAGCAGGCUGCACAGUGUAAGGAGAGGAGGGUGUUCUGAGAAUCUGCUUUUUCAGGUGAUACAACAGUCUGUGGGGGUGGGGAGAUGAGGCUGGGGGAAGCUAAGGACAAAUGAUUGGCUACUUCCUCCAACUUUUUUUUUUUGCUUAUGGUUCUAGCAACCAAUACCAUCAAUACCUAUCUCCAAAUUUGACUUUAAACAGCUUGGAAAUAAACAAUUACAUAUAAGGUUCCUGUGUCAGUAUAAAUUCUACUUUAGUUAGGAAACCUUGAAUGAUUAAAUGGAUCUGUGUGAAAAACAAGUACCCCAGGCCUGAUUAUUUUCAAAACCCCAAAGUGACUUAAUAACUUUCCUACCAAAUUUAUACAAUUAUUCUCUCCUGCUCAACGUUUCCUCAGUUUUCCUUCAAAAAUUGGACCAUGUCUUCAGAAAAUGGUUUGGUCUUGCUGUUUCUACCAUGGCAAAAUUUAUUUUAGUUCUUCAGCUUUCCACCGUGCUUCUUUCUGUGCUUUCUGUCAGGUCUCUUCAUCAAGAAUGAGCCCCCUUAUAAGCCUCCUGAGUACAAGCCUUCAUACUCCUACUCUUCCUCUCCCACAAACCAGACCGUCUGGAGGCCUGGAGCUCUGCCACUCCAUUAGCAGCUUCAGCUUAGAACUGGAUUGGAAAUGCCAAGCUUCCGGUGACAUUACAGAUUGCUGGUUGGUGCCGAACGCUGGCUUAGUUAUAUCCUUGGCAGGUCCCUGGAUGCUAACCAGAUAGCCCAUGAGCUCCAAGUUAACAAGGUCGAUGUGUUUUGAGUCGAUCUCCAAAAACAAGAACGUUCUGUCUCUUAAAAUUCAAAUUAAAUAAAGCAACUUAA
This is a long non-coding RNA of Myotis davidii, 1762 nucleotides long. RefSeq lists it as uncharacterized. NCBI's taxonomy places the organism in Eukaryota, Metazoa, Chordata, Mammalia, Chiroptera, Vespertilionidae. The record is from RefSeq and is a predicted model, not a curated record. The transcript is spliced from 2 exons.